ACUAAUAAAAUAGUCAGAAAGUAUGACUUUUAUAUUGCAUGUGUAUGUAAUACAUUUCAAAAUCGUGCAUAUAUGCUCAAUCAGCAUGUAUAAUUAUUGUAAUAAGCAUAACAAAUCAAAAAUAUGUGUGAGAUCCAAUAGUCAAAAUCCAUAACGUCUGACACAUAAAAUGGAUUCAUUUUGGUAAUGAAGAUGAUGACCGAUUCAAAAAGACAAAGCGAAACAAAAAAUAACAAAAUGGUGUCUGAAAAAAUCCGGUUGUGUCGUGCAAACCAUGGUGCUAUUUGCUAAUAAACCAACAAUUUUCUAAUAAAUAACUCUUUAAAUACCUACAAGUUUUAGUUUUGGUGCAGUGUUUUUGCCAUGUUCGCAAUAAAAUUUUAACAAUAACCAAAUGCCGAGUCGCAAAUCUCAGGUCACAAUGAAGCUGCGGUCUAUUUUCAAGCGUCACAAAACCAAUAUUUGCCGGCAGGUGCGGAUGUCAGUGAAUACGCUCUGCGCAGAUAAUUAUUUCGUAUUCUACGUGGUCUAUCAUCCUCUUUUUGAUCCUGCCAAAACCGUAAUUGAGGAGACAGUCUUCGUCUUAGGCACAACAAACCGGUUCUCAACUGAACUUCCUAAAUGGAACCCUGCAUAUACGCUGCUAGAAGUGUUUCGGUACAAAAAUAAUCCGCUGACUCUGGAAGCGACCCAGGGCGGAAAGGACUGCUCUGAGCUGUAAUGUUUUCGUUGAUGAUUCGUUCAAGUUUGAGAGCAACUUUAGCGUUCAUAUUCGUCGCCUUUUGUAACGCAAGCUGUUCACCAGUUGUGCAUCAACUUAUUCGAAAGGUAGAAACUCAUCGAUGGAUAACUGCUGCCUGCGAUGCUCAAAAGGUUGCGUAACGAAAGCUCCAACUCGGCGAAAGCGCCCUAUUUGAAACCUGUUUGAAACCACUGUUACGGAUGAUUGCUCCGAGGAUUGCUCCGAGUCGUAAACGAAAACCACCGGAGUAAUUUUCAAUUUCUGGAAUGUAGGAUUUUGGUCGUUAUAAGAGCUGCUGCUGAAUUCUAUGCGAUGUGUGUAAUGUGAUGAUUAUAAUAUCGAUGCCCACUUCAGCUGGUUCCAUACUUGAAAGAAAUGUGUGUUAUUCGCAGGAAAGUUAGAAUUUGUCAUCAAAAAGUAACACUACAUAAUUCAUAUGCUACCAAACGAUGUAUAACUGUUUUUUUCGUGGAAAUAAAAGUUAAAUAUGAAUAAAUUUA
This is a long non-coding RNA of Armigeres subalbatus, 1242 nucleotides long. RefSeq lists it as uncharacterized. Lineage: Eukaryota; Metazoa; Arthropoda; Insecta; Diptera; Culicidae. The record is from RefSeq and is a predicted model, not a curated record. The transcript has 3 exons.